Macadamia integrifolia is the source of this 776-nucleotide long non-coding RNA. RefSeq lists it as uncharacterized. NCBI's taxonomy places the organism in Eukaryota, Viridiplantae, Streptophyta, Magnoliopsida, Proteales, Proteaceae. The transcript is spliced from 2 exons. The record is from RefSeq and is a predicted model, not a curated record.
GAUUUCUCGCUUGAAGGAGAAGGAGAAGGAGACGGAGAAAGAUGAGGAGCAUCGGCUGUAGAAGAAGGAGAAGUUGUUGUAUAUACGAAAACCCAGAUCCCCCCCUGCGAUUUGAAGCUGUAGGAGAAGGAGAAGGAAUAUCUUCAAUUGGCUUCAAGUUCUUGUGAUUCAAUGCCCAUACUCUGCAAUCCUGAUAUUUGCAGAUAAAUGUCUACUUCAAGUGUUGAUUGCAACAAGUCUGAUGCACUGAAGUACAAAUGCGUAAGGUGUAGCUGCAUUCGAAAAGCUGUCAUUCAGAUCUUUGAGACAAACAAUAUUCCGAAUAGACUCUUUUAUAACUGUCCAAACUUGAAUGGAUGUAAAUUCUUUGCUUGGUGUGAUCCCAUUAAUGCACCAGUCAUCGACUUACCGAACAGAGAAGUACCAGCAAACAUCCCCAUUUGUAAAUUGCUUGAGUUGCAAGCGGAGGUACAAGGCUUGGUAGAACAGGUCGGUGGCUUGCAAGUCAGGAUUCAUUAGGUGUAGGAGGAGUUGUGGGUCUUGCGAGAGGUCGUGCAAAGGUUGCAACAAGAGUUUGGAAUUGAGAAGUUUAGAUUUGAUGAGAUAGAGAAGUUGACAACAUCAAUCAAGCUCGUGUGUCGAUUUGUAGUUGUUUUCUUUAUGGGAGUACUCGUAACUAUUUGUAUGGAUAAAAUAGUGUGACAUUAUUGGAGUACUUGUAACCUAACUAUUUUGUAUGGGUAAAAUAGUGUCAUAGUAUUGGAGUACUUGCAACC